This 521-nucleotide ribosomal RNA is filed under the name uncultured Glomeromycotina. Its description in RNAcentral is "SSU rRNA". It matches the Rfam family "Eukaryotic small subunit ribosomal RNA", at positions 548 to 1075 of the family's 1831-position model. Lineage: Eukaryota; Fungi; Glomeromycota. The record is from RNAcentral.
UUGGAGGGCAAGUCUGGUGCCAGCAGCCGCGGUAAUUCCAGCUCCAAUAGCGUAUAUUAAAGUUGUUGCAGUUAAAAAGCUCGUAGUUGAAUUUCGGGAUCAAGGAAUCGGUCAUGCCUUGGUAUGUACUGGUUUUAUUGGUUCUCACCUUCUAAAGAACCAUAAUGUCAUUUAUUUGAUGUUAUGGGGAAUCAGGACUGUUACUUUGAAAAAAUUAGAGUGUUUAAAGCAGGCUCACGCUUGAAUACAUUAGCAUGGAAUAAUGAAAUAGGACGUUUGAUCCUAUUUUGUUGGUUUCUAGGAUUGACGUAAUGAUUAAUAGGGAUAGUUGGGGCAUUAGUAUUCAAUUGUCAGAGGUGAAAUUCUUGGAUUUAUUGAAGACUAACUACUGCGAAAGCAUUUGCCAAGGAUGUUUUCAUUAAUCAAGAACGAAAGUUAGGGGAUCGAAGACGAUCAGAUACCGUCGUAGUCUUAACCAUAAACUAUGCCGACUAGGGAUCGGACGAUGUUAAUUUUUAAUG